Molecule: ribosomal RNA, 433 nt
Filed under: uncultured bacterium
Lineage: Bacteria
Description: partial 16S ribosomal RNA
Rfam family: Bacterial small subunit ribosomal RNA
Source: RNAcentral
AACGAACGCUGGCGGCAUGCCUAACACAUGCAAGUCGAACGAGACCUUCUGGUCUAGUGGCGCACGGGUGCGUAACGCGUUGGAACCUGCCCUUAGGUUCGGAAUAACUCCCCGAAAGGGGUUCUAAUACCGGAUAAUGUCUUCGGACCAAAGAUUUAUCGCCAUUGGAUGGGCCCGCGUUUGUUUAGCUAGUUGGUAGGGUAAAAGCCUAACAAGGCGACGAUCCAUAGCUGGUCUGAGAGGAUGAUCAGCCACACUGGGACUGAGACACGGCACAGACUCCUACGGGAGGCAGCAGUGGGGAAUAUUGGACAAUGGGAGAAAGCCUGAGCCAGAAAUGGCGCGUGAGUGAUGAAGGCAUUAGGGUUGUAAAGCUCUUUUACCCGGGAUGAUAAUGACAGUACCGGGAGAAUAAGCUCCGGCUAACUCCGUG